UAGGUUGGCUCUCUAUGGGCUUUAAUGAACCCUCCAUUAAAAAACCCCACAUUUUCUGGAGGCAUAAAUGGACGGCGAUUGCUCUUGAGGAACACAGGAGGCUGCUGGAUCCCGCCACUGCGCCCUCCCCCAGCGAGAAUGCUGCAGGGAUUUUUUAGGAUGAGCCUUUUGGUGAGGCUUAAGAUGAGAUGCACUUGGACCUGGAAUCCUCCUGCAUUUCCUCAUCCACCCAUGCCUGAUGCAUGUGCUGGAUUUUGCAUGUUCAUCCAUCUCCGUGGGCUGGGUUCUGCUGUAUCACAGCCCUGGACAUCUGUAGGAAUAAAACUGGCUAAAUCCAGAAAGUGAUGAGUCUGUGGACUAAAAGAUCAUUUG
This is a long non-coding RNA of Empidonax traillii (willow flycatcher), 372 nucleotides long. RefSeq lists it as uncharacterized. Lineage: Eukaryota; Metazoa; Chordata; Aves; Passeriformes; Tyrannidae. The transcript has 2 exons. The record is from RefSeq and is a predicted model, not a curated record.